CGGGUGAGUAAUGUCUGGGAAACUGCCUGAUGGAGGGGGAUAACUGCUGGAAACGGUAGCUAAUACCGCAUAACGUCGCAAGACCAAAGAGGGGGACCUCCGGGCCUCUUGCCAUCGGAUGUGCCCAGAUGGGAUUAGCUAGUAGGUGGGGUAACGGCUCACCUAGGCGACGAUCCCUAGCUGGUCUGAGAGGAUGGCCAGCCACACUGGAACUGAGACACGGUCCAG
RNAcentral lists this ribosomal RNA (228 nucleotides) under uncultured bacterium. Its description in RNAcentral is "partial 16S ribosomal RNA". It matches the Rfam family "Bacterial small subunit ribosomal RNA", at positions 103 to 334 of the family's 1533-position model. The record is from RNAcentral.